GCAAACUUGGUCAUUUAGAGGAAGUAAAAGUCGUAACAAGGUUUCCGUAGGUGAACCUGCGGAAGGAUCAUUACAUUAGAACAUAGGCCCCAAGCUGUAGCAAUAUAGCCCAAAGGCCUCUUCUAUUACCCUUGUUUUUUGAGUACCUAUGUUUCCUUGGUGGGCUUGCCUGCCAAUAGGACAAACUAUUAAACCUUUUUUAAUCUUCAAUCAGCGUCUGAAUAAACUUUAAUAAUUACAACUUUCAACAACGGAUCUCUUGGUUCUGGCAUCGAUGAAGAACGCAGC
Molecule: unclassified non-coding RNA, 288 nt
Filed under: uncultured fungus
Lineage: Eukaryota; Fungi
Description: partial contains small subunit ribosomal RNA, internal transcribed spacer 1, and 5.8S ribosomal RNA
Rfam family: Eukaryotic small subunit ribosomal RNA (bases 1-73)
Source: RNAcentral